CUAGUUCUGACCGUAAACGAUGCCAACUCGCGAUCCGCCGGCGGAUUCAUUCGCCCUGGUGGGGAGCGUCCCGGAAACGAAAGUCUUCCGGUUCCGGGGGAAGUAUGGUUGCAAAGCUGAAACUUAAAGGAAUUGACGGAAGGGCACCACCAGGAGUGGAGCCUGCGGCUUAAUUUGACUCAACACGGGAAAACUCACCCGGCCCGGACACCGUAAGGAUUGACAGAUUGAUAGCUUUUUCAUGAUUCGGUGGAUGGUGGUGCAUGGCCGUUCUUAGUUCGUGGAGCGAUUU
This 292-nucleotide ribosomal RNA is filed under the name Nematoda environmental sample. RNAcentral's name for it is "partial 18S rRNA". It matches the Rfam family "Eukaryotic small subunit ribosomal RNA", at positions 1020 to 1312 of the family's 1831-position model. Lineage: Eukaryota; Metazoa; Nematoda. The record is from RNAcentral.